This 484-nucleotide ribosomal RNA is filed under the name uncultured bacterium. Its description in RNAcentral is "partial 16S ribosomal RNA". It matches the Rfam family "Bacterial small subunit ribosomal RNA", at positions 30 to 507 of the family's 1533-position model. The record is from RNAcentral.
AUUGAACGCUGGCGGCAGGCCUAACACAUGCAAGUCGAGCGGAUGAAGGGAGCUUGCUCCUGGAAUCAGCGGCGGACGGGUGAGUAAUGCCUAGGAAUCUGCCUGGUAGUGGGGGAUAACGUCCGGAAACGGGCGCUAAUACCGCAUACGUCCUGAGGGAGAAAGUGGGGGAUCUUCGGACCUCACGCUAUCAGAUGAGCCUAGGUCGGAUUAGCUAGUUGGUGGGGUAAAGGCCUACCAAGGCGACGAUCCGUAACUGGUCUGAGAGGAUGAUCAGUCACACUGGAACUGAGACACGGUCCAGACUCCUACGGGAGGCAGCAGUGGGGAAUAUUGGACAAUGGGCGAAAGCCUGAUCCAGCCAUGCCGCGUGUGUGAAGAAGGCCUUCGGAUUGUAAAGCACUUUAAGUUGGGAGGAAGGGCAGUAAGUUAAUACCUUGCUGUUUUGACGUUACCAACAGAAUAAGCACCGGCUAACUUCGUG